GGGGAUCGGCUCAGUAGCGUAUAUUAAGUUGUUGCAGUUAAAAAGCUCGUAGUUGAACUUUGGGUCUGGUUGGCCGGUCCGAUUUUAUGUCGCGCACUGGUUUUCAACCGGAUCUUUCCUUCUGGCUAACCUGUACUCCUUGUGGGUGCAGGCGAACCAGGACUUUUACUUUGAAAAAAUUAGAGUGUUCAAAGCAGGCGAAAGCUCGAAUAUAUUAGCAUGGAAUAACGGAAUAGGACGUUUGGUUCUAUUUUGUUGGUUUCUAGGACCAUCGUAAUGAUUAAUAGGGACGGUCGGGGGCAUCAGUAUUCAAUUGUCAGAGGUGAAAUUCUUGGAUUUAUUGAAGACUAACUACUGCGAAAGCAUUUGCCAAGGACGUUUUCAUUAAUCAAGAACGAAAGUUAGGGGAUCGAAGACGAAAAAAUAUCACGCGUUAA
Molecule: ribosomal RNA, 437 nt
Filed under: uncultured Kluyveromyces
Lineage: Eukaryota; Fungi; Ascomycota; Saccharomycetes; Saccharomycetales; Saccharomycetaceae
Description: SSU rRNA
Rfam family: Eukaryotic small subunit ribosomal RNA
Source: RNAcentral